This 468-nucleotide ribosomal RNA is filed under the name uncultured bacterium. Its description in RNAcentral is "partial 16S ribosomal RNA". It matches the Rfam family "Bacterial small subunit ribosomal RNA", at positions 28 to 507 of the family's 1533-position model. The record is from RNAcentral.
GACGAACGCUGGCGGCGUGCUUAACACAUGCAAGUCGAACGGAAACUCCCUGUUUUUGUGGGCUGCUCGAGUGGCGAACGGGGGAGCUACACGUGAGUUACCUGCCCCUGACUGUGGGAUAACUUCAUGAAACUGAGGCUAAUACCGGCUAGGAGCUACUGCCGUAUGGUGGGCGCUGGUUGGUUUCGGCUGUUGGGGAUGGAAUCGCGGCUCAUCAGCUUGUUGGUGGGGUAGUUGCAUACCAAGGCUUUGACGGGUAGCCGACCUGAGAGGGGAACCGGCCACAUUGGGACUGAGAUACGGCCCAGCCUACAACGGGAGGCAAGGGAGGAGAAGAGUACACAGUAGGCGGGAGCCAGGUGCGAUCCCGCCGCGUGGGGGAUGACGGCCUGCGGGUUGUGAACCACUUUCGCCUGAGACGAAGCGUGAAUGACGGUAAUGGGUGAAGAAGCACCGGCUAACUACGUG